Molecule: long non-coding RNA, 552 nt
Filed under: Bos indicus x Bos taurus (hybrid cattle)
Lineage: Eukaryota; Metazoa; Chordata; Mammalia; Artiodactyla; Bovidae
Description: lncRNA (ENSBIXG00000011653.1)
Source: RNAcentral
AGUGUCCUGUGCUGGGUGUGGUGGGAAAGACCUGGUUUCUCCUUUGGUUAGGGUGCCCUGGACUUGGCCCCGAGGCAAGGGCUCUGCUCAUUUAUCUUCUCCCACACAGGGAUCCUCUGGGAGGAGCGGCUGGUCAGGGACCAGACUGGGUACAGCCUAGCAGGCUGCUGUCCAGGGAGGGAACUGUCAUCAAUGACGACGGUGCGUUGCUGUUACACACCGCUGCUCUGCCGCCUCGGUUACGUGGGUGAUGGCCAGGCAGUGAGGCGUCUCAGAGGAAGGAGAUGGAGACAUAUUGAUGAAACACCUCCUCCUGCCAACUCCAGGGGCCCCAGUGGACUGGAAGGACCUGGCUGCAGGCCCUCACGUACCCAUGGCCACUACAUGAGCACUGCUGGUCCAUUGCCACCGUGUCCCUCCUGGUUCCAGCCCCACCCUCACUGGCACCUUGGACUCCAGCGGGUUGAAAAUUUCCAAGAUUUCUCAGGUUCUUUAUCACUUCUGGGUCUCUGUGUGGGCUGCCCCCCAUCUGGAAUAAAGCCUUCUACCCAC